UGGUCAAUAGCCUAACGKCUGAACCAGCAACUUGGAGGAAGGUAUAGCAUUAGCUAAUUAUAUUUAGUUAAAUAUAAUUUCGACUACGUCGUAUAAAAUUCUAGAUGGAUAAUUGAUGAUGACAGAUUUCUAUCUAUAUGUCUUGACCAAAUCUCGUGCCAGCAGUCGCGGUAAAACGAGGGAGACUAGUGUUAUUCAUCUUUAAUAGGUUUAAAGGGUACCUAGACGGUAUUUCCAGCCAAAAUGGUACAGAUUUACUAGAGUUUAAUAUGUGAGAAGGUCGUACUUCUGGUGUAGAGAUGAAAUUUUUUGAUACCUUAAGGACUGGCAAAAAGCGAAAGCAACCUUAAUACUAUGUAUAAACUGACGUUGAGGGACGAAGGCUUGGGAAGCAAACAGGAUUAGAUACCCCAGUAGUCCUUGCAGAAAAUUAUGAAUGUCAUAUAUUAGAAUUUCUAGUAUAUAAAUGAAAGUGUAAGCAUUCCACCUCAAGAGUAAUGUGGCAACACAGAAACUGAAAUCAUUAGACCGUUUCUGAAACCAGUAGUGAAGUAUGUUAUUUAAUUCGAUGGUCCACGAAAAACCUUACCACAAUUUGUAUAAAAAAUUAUUUUUUUUACAAGUGUUGCACGGCUGUCUUCAGUUAAUGUCGUGAGAUUUGGUUAGUUCCAUUUAAUUAACGUAAGCCCUUACUUUUUUUAUUGUAAAAAAAAGUUGUAAACCGUUAUAUUGGUUAAGCUAAAAG
This 745-nucleotide ribosomal RNA is filed under the name fungal sp. RNAcentral's name for it is "partial small subunit ribosomal RNA". It matches the Rfam family "Bacterial small subunit ribosomal RNA", at positions 365 to 1172 of the family's 1533-position model. Lineage: Eukaryota; Fungi. The record is from RNAcentral.